Molecule: ribosomal RNA, 452 nt
Filed under: Streptococcus sp. oral taxon 064
Lineage: Bacteria; Bacillati; Bacillota; Bacilli; Lactobacillales; Streptococcaceae
Description: bacterial SSU rRNA
Rfam family: Bacterial small subunit ribosomal RNA
Source: RNAcentral
GACGAACGCUGGCGGCGUGCCUAAUACAUGCAAGUAGAACGCUGAAGAGAGGAGCUUGCUCUUCUUGGAUGAGUUGCGAACGGGUGAGUAACGCGUAGGUAACCUGCCUGGUAGCGGGGGAUAACUAUUGGAAACGAUAGCUAAUACCGCAUAAUAGUAGAUGUUGCAUGACAUUUGCUUAAAAGGUGCAAUUGCAUCACUACCAGAUGGACCUGCGUUGUAUUAGCUAGUUGGUGAGGUAACGGCUCACCAAGGCAACGAUACAUAGCCGACCUGAGAGGGUGAUCGGCCACACUGGGACUGAGACACGGCCCAGACUCCUACGGGAGGCAGCAGUAGGGAAUCUUCGGCAAUGGACGGAAGUCUGACCGAGCAACGCCGCGUGAGUGAAGAAGGUUUUCGGAUCGUAAAGCUCUGUUGUAAGAGAAGAACGAGUGUGAGAGUGGAAAGUU